Molecule: long non-coding RNA, 228 nt
Filed under: Physcomitrium patens
Lineage: Eukaryota; Viridiplantae; Streptophyta; Bryopsida; Funariales; Funariaceae
Description: long non-coding RNA (PPAT_LNC002511)
Source: RNAcentral
CCUCGUAUCUAAAGUUUCAUCCUUGUCUCCUUCUCUGUACCCUUUUAUAGGAACAUCAUCCAGAAAAGGCAUAGUCUUUUCCGGAAUAAAAUCUCUCAAUACCUUAUUCAUCCCAUUCAUCAUAUGCGCAACUGAGUUGGUUGCGCCUUGAGGAAGAGUGCACAUUCUAACCAAUCCAAGCGGUGUCCUCAUCGUUGUCAUAUCUCUACUUCCUUCGGCAAGUUGAAA